AAGACUAUGCUUUCAGGGAUCGUCUCUAUAGUUCAUUACUAGAGAAGUUUCUCUGAAUGUGUAGAGCACCCGAAACCACGAGGAAGAGAUGCAGCAUUCUCUCCUGAGGGUGAAACUGGCUCUCCGUGUUGCUUUGGCAACGGGCAACAACCACUUGCCAUUGGUGAUCGUUCUUUUUUCUCUGGGAGAGGAGAGGGAGAGGAUGUGUUUUGAGUGGC
Molecule: small nucleolar RNA, 218 nt
Organism: Myotis daubentonii (Daubenton's bat)
Lineage: Eukaryota; Metazoa; Chordata; Mammalia; Chiroptera; Vespertilionidae
Product: small nucleolar RNA U3
Source: RefSeq, a predicted model, not a curated record